UUAAGUUAUUAAGGGCGCACGGUGGAUGCCUUGGCACUAGAAGCCGAUGAAGGACGUUACUAACGACGAUAUGCUUUGGGGAGCUGUAAGUAAGCUUUGAUCCAGAGAUUUCCGAAUGGGGAAACCCAGCAUGAGUUAUGUCAUGUUAUCGAUAUGUGAAUACAUAGCAUAUCAGAAGGCACACCCGGAGAACUGAAACAUCUUAGUACCCGGAGGAAGAAAAAGAAAAUUCGAUUCCCUUAGUAGCGGCGAGCGAAACGGGAAGAGCCCAAACCAACAAGCUUGCUUGUUGGGGUUGUAGGACACUCUAUACGGAGUUACAAAGGACGACAUUAGACGAAUCAUCUGGAAAGAUGAAUCAAAGAAGGUAAUAAUCCUGUAGUCGAAAAUGUUGUCUCUCUUGAGUGGAUCCUGAGUACGACGGAGCACGUGAAAUUCCGUCGGAAUCUGGGAGGACCAUCUCCUAAGGCUAAAUACUCUCUAGUGACCGAUAGUGAACCAGUACCGUGAGGGAAAGGUGAAAAGCACCCCGGAAGGGGAGUGAAAUAGAACCUGAAACCGUGUGCUUACAAGUAGUCAGAGCCCGUUAAUGGGUGAUGGCGUGCCUUUUGUAGAAUGAACCGGCGAGUUACGAUUUGAUGCAAGGUUAAGCAGUAAAUGUGGAGCCGUAGCGAAAGCGAGUCUGAAUAGGGCGUUUAGUAUUUGGUCGUAGACCCGAAACCAGGUGAUCUACCCUUGGUCAGGUUGAAGUUCAGGUAACACUGAAUGGAGGACCGAACCGACUUACGUUGAAAAGUGAGCGGAUGAACUGAGGGUAGCGGAGAAAUUCCAAUCGAACCUGGAGAUAGCUGGUUCUCUCCGAAAUAGCUUUAGGGCUAGCCUCAAGUGAUGAUUAUUGGAGGUAGAGCACUGUUUGGACGAGGGGCCCCUCUCGGGUUACCGAAUUCAGACAAACUCCGAAUGCCAAUUAAUUUAACUUGGGAGUCAGAACAUGGGUGAUAAGGUCCGUGUUCGAAAGGGAAACAGCCCAGACCACCAGCUAAGGUCCCAAAAUAUAUGUUAAGUGGAAAAGGAUGUGGCGUUGCCCAGACAACUAGGAUGUUGGCUUAGAAGCAGCCAUCAUUUAAAGAGUGCGUAAUAGCUCACUAGUCGAGUGACACUGCGCCGAAAAUGUACCGGGGCUAAACAUAUUACCGAAGCUGUGGAUUGUCCUUUGGACAAUGGUAGGAGAGCGUUCUAAGGGCGUUGAAGCAUGAUCGUAAGGACAUGUGGAGCGCUUAGAAGUGAGAAUGCCGGUGUGAGUAGCGAAAGACGGGUGAGAAUCCCGUCCACCGAUUGACUAAGGUUUCCAGAGGAAGGCUCGUCCGCUCUGGGUUAGUCGGGUCCUAAGCUGAGGCCGACAGGCGUAGGCGAUGGAUAACAGGUUGAUAUUCCUGUACCACCUAUAAUCGUUUUAAUCGAUGGGGGGGACGCAGUAGGAUAGGCGAAGCGUGCGAUUGGAUUGCACGUCUAAGCAGUAAGGCUGAGUAUUAGGCAAAUCCGGUACUCGUUAAGGCUGAGCUGUGAUGGGGAGAAGACAUUGUGUCUUCGAGUCGUUGAUUUCACACUGCCGAGAAAAGCCUCUAGAUAGAAAAUAGGUGCCCGUACCGCAAACCGACACAGGUAGUCAAGAUGAGAAUUCUAAGGUGAGCGAGCGAACUCUCGUUAAGGAACUCGGCAAAAUGACCCCGUAACUUCGGGAGAAGGGGUGCUCUUUAGGGUUAACGCCCAGAAGAGCCGCAGUGAAUAGGCCCAAGCGACUGUUUAUCAAAAACACAGGUCUCUGCUAAACCGUAAGGUGAUGUAUAGGGGCUGACGCCUGCCCGGUGCUGGAAGGUUAAGAGGAGUGGUUAGCUUCUGCGAAGCUACGAAUCGAAGCCCCAGUAAACGGCGGCCGUAACUAUAACGGUCCUAAGGUAGCGAAAUUCCUUGUCGGGUAAGUUCCGACCCGCACGAAAGGCGUAACGAUUUGGGCACUGUCUCAACGAGAGACUCGGUGAAAUCAUAGUACCUGUGAAGAUGCAGGUUACCCGCGACAGGACGGAAAGACCCCGUGGAGCUUUACUGUAGCCUGAUAUUGAAAUUCGGCACAGCUUGUACAGGAUAGGUAGGAGCCUUUGAAACGUGAGCGCUAGCUUACGUGGAGGCGCUGGUGGGAUACUACCCUAGCUGUGUUGGCUUUCUAACCCGCACCACUUAUCGUGGUGGGAGACAGUGUCAGGCGGGCAGUUUGACUGGGGCGGUCGCCUCCUAAAAGGUAACGGAGGCGCUCAAAGGUUCCCUCAGAAUGGUUGGAAAUCAUUCAUAGAGUGUAAAGGCAUAAGGGAGCUUGACUGCGAGACCUACAAGUCGAGCAGGGUCGAAAGACGGACUUAGUGAUCCGGUGGUUCCGCAUGGAAGGGCCAUCGCUCAACGGAUAAAAGCUACCCCGGGGAUAACAGGCUUAUCUCCCCCAAGAGUUCACAUCGACGGGGAGGUUUGGCACCUCGAUGUCGGCUCAUCGCAUCCUGGGGCUGUAGUCGGUCCCAAGGGUUGGGCUGUUCGCCCAUUAAAGCGGUACGCGAGCUGGGUUCAGAACGUCGUGAGACAGUUCGGUCCCUAUCCGUCGUGGGCGUAGGAAAUUUGAGAGGAGCUGUCCUUAGUACGAGAGGACCGGGAUGGACAUACCUCUGGUGUACCAGUUGUCGUGCCAACGGCAUAGCUGGGUAGCUAUGUGUGGACGGGAUAAGUGCUGAAAGCAUCUAAGCAUGAAGCCCCCCCUCAAGAUGAGAUUUCCCAACUUCGGUUAUAAGAUCCCUCAAAGAUGAUGAGGUUAAUAGGUUCGAGGUGGAAGCAUGGUGACAUGUGGAGCUGACGAAUACUAAUCGAUCGAAGACUUAAUCAA
RNAcentral lists this ribosomal RNA (2923 nucleotides) under Staphylococcus aureus subsp. aureus KPL1845. RNAcentral's name for it is "bacterial LSU rRNA". It matches the Rfam family "Bacterial large subunit ribosomal RNA". The record is from RNAcentral. Lineage: Bacteria; Bacillati; Bacillota; Bacilli; Caryophanales; Staphylococcaceae.